GCACCCGUGAUGUAAUGGUAACAUCCGAGCUUCCCAAGCUCGUCAUGAGGGUUCGAUCCCCUUCGGGUGCUCAA
Molecule: transfer RNA, 74 nt
Filed under: Fidelibacterota bacterium
Lineage: Bacteria; Pseudomonadati; Fidelibacterota
Description: tRNA-Gly
Rfam family: tRNA
About the family: Transfer RNA (tRNA) molecules are approximately 80 nucleotides in length.
Source: RNAcentral